GCCCAGCGGGCGGGCAGCGGGUGUCUAGACGGGCCGGCAAGCGGGAAGGUGACGUCCAGACAGGCAGGGGGUUACGGCGGUCGGCGGAGGGCGUGGUCUGUGGGCCUUGGGCGGCCGAGGUGUGGAAGCCCCCGCAAGGCACUCGGCGGCUCGGAACCCCUGCUUCCUUUUAUGUAAAGUGAGAUGUGAUUCAUCUCACACGGGUUAUUAAUAUCACCGUUUGCGCGUUACCCGACGCAGAAUCACCCCACCAGUCCCAUGAGGUGGAAGCCCUGUCCGCGCUGUACAAACGAGGAAGCGUGGCUCGGAGAGUCGAGUGGGCUCCCAAGUGGUGCUCUUGCCAGAGGAGUGGGUUUCGUGGACCCAGAGCUCGAAGCUGGGGGUUGAAAUCUGUCCCUGCCACGUAACGAUGGCGAGACGGAGGGCAGGUCGCCCCCGGCCUUAUGUCCGUUGAGGAAGUGGCGCUAACGAUACCAUCUUCUAGAGCUGCAGUCAGGUUAAAUUCGGUCAGUGGUUCCCAAACUCUUAGUCUCAAGACCACCUUAUUCUCUUUAAAAAUGAUUGAGGAAAAUAAAAUGAUUGAGGGCCUCAAAAAGUCUGCUAAUGUGCGUUAUAGCUAUCGAUAUGUCCCGUAUUAUAAAUGUGAAAUUUAAAAGAAUACUUUUCCUCUUAAAAAUAAACAUUACACUCUUAAAAACCUGUAUCUCCCAAAAAGACAGAGAAGAGUAGUAAUUGUUUUACAUUUUUAAAAAUCUUAAAAUUAUAAAGAUUCAUACAAGACAGCUGGAUUCUCGUAUCUGCUUCUGCAUUCACUCUGUUGCAGUAUACUGUUUUGAACUAUAUGAGGAAAAUCCAGCCUCAGAUACAUGGUCCAACAAGGAAGGAGCCACAGACCCAACUCCAAACAGCUUAGAGCAUCACUGGGCACCUGGCACGGCCUUGGAAAUGGUGAUGAAAUGAAGCCAUUGAGUCAGGGAAAUAAGCUGAUGGCUUUGAGGCCUGGCCCAGGUGGAAGGCUGCUCCGAACCCUCCCCACGGAUGGUUGAAAAAGAGAAAGAGCCCACUCAAUGGAGAUGCACUGGUGGACAAUGCCCACCCCAACCCCAACCAACUACAGGCAGAGAGAGAGGCGCUUUGAGAGAAUUAUGGUGGGGGAGGGGCAGGUAACACCGUGGAGAAGAGUGGUCCCAUCUGCAGUGGCCGGAAGGAAAGGCUAGAAAAGACAUCAGCAUUGGAAGAAAUACCUCUUUAUUCAGCCCA
Hyaena hyaena (striped hyena) is the source of this 1260-nucleotide long non-coding RNA. RefSeq lists it as uncharacterized. The record is from RefSeq and is a predicted model, not a curated record. The transcript is spliced from 2 exons. Lineage: Eukaryota; Metazoa; Chordata; Mammalia; Carnivora; Hyaenidae.